CUUUAAAUACAAAUAAAUAAGAACAACAAACCACGUUUUUAUAAAAUAAUGUGAGUGAAAUUUAGCAGUUUCAUCUAUUUCAGGGGACUUUUUUUUCCCUUUCAGAGCUUCAGUUUUACUUCAGGUUCACAACUCUUACCCAGAGUGCUGAGUUUACCAGAAAACUAACCUCUAGAUAAAUUUACUGUCUUUUUAAGUACAUUUUUAAACUUCAGAAGUUUGUUAUACCAGAUUUUAAAUGAAAGAAUAAUUAUAUUUCAACAUUUAUAGUUUUAAAUCUUUGAUGGGCACUAUUAUUUCACUGUCCUAUCUUCAUGAGCAUCUAGUAAAGGUUGGGUAAAUAUACUCUCCUUCUUUGCCCAGUCUCAAUCAAAUUAAAAUUCUAGAACUUUGAAAUAGUUUUUCUUUCAUCUUUUAUUUUGACUUCCUUUACCUGAACUGCCUAUACUGACUUUCCUAUGGUUAACCUUUCCAAACUGUUUCUCAUCACUAAGACACACAUAUACAAAAAUACAUACUUGUUACCUAUCCAUCAAGCUUUACUUAUAACAUGAUUUAAUGGAAAGAAAAUAAAAUUUGAAUUAGAGGGCCUUAUGAGCCUCAAGCACAUUAUUUAUUUAUUUAUUUAUUUAGGUGAGGCAAUGGCAAUUAAGUGACUUGCCCAGGGUCACACAGCUAUUAAGUGUUAAGUAUUUGAGGUCCCAUUUAAAUUUAGGUCCUCCUGAUUUCAGGGUGGUCUAUUCACUGUGCCAUCUAGCUACCCCCUCUCCAAGUCUAUUAUUUACCACCUGGGUAACUGGGCAAGUCACUUGAAUUUUCUGAACCUCAAUAUCAAAAUGAUAGGUUUUUAACUAAAGGACCUAUGAAAUUUCUAAAAAAGAAAUCCGAGAGUUCUAAAAGAUAUGAUCCUAUUCUGUAAAAUUAUCAUUAACAAAAGCAAGAUGUCUCUGCUUUUAGAAGCCUUGAACUUAUUUGAAUAAUUAAAAAGGCAUUUACUAUGGACUUACUGUGUGUCAGGCACAGGGCUUACAUUCCAAUAGGUAAACUGACAAGAUUGGACUAAAUCUUUGAAAGAGUUUCUUUCAGCUAAAAAUACUAUAAAUAUUCUAGUUCACAAAAGAUGCCCAACAUGUGUUUUGUUGUUUUCUUUCUUUCUUUUUUUAAACAAAUUUAGCAAAUACCAAGCACAUUCAAAUAAACAAAUACAGAUAUAUGUAUGUAGUAUACACACUACACACAAAACCUAUCAUACAUACAUAAACAUGUAUGUAGGCACAUACAGAUAAGCAUAGAGAUAUCUAACUCUAUAUACAUUUAAACAUGUAUGUAAUGUGUGUGUUUAUAUUGUAUAUAUUUUACACAUAUGAUAUAUGUGUACAUAGAAUCUACUUACAUGCAUACACACAUAUAUAUGUAUAUAAUUUUGAGACAGGACAUUCUAGGAAGGAGAAAAAAACUGAUAAUUCAAUUUUCUUGACAAAUAUUUUAUAAACACUGCUUAUGUAUAAGACUUUAUGCUAGGUCCUAAAGAUUUCUUUGGAAAAAAAAUUAAAUUGUCCUUGGCCUCAAGGAGCUUUCAUUCUUCUGGCUCAUAGGAUACUUUUAAAUAUACUUUUGUUGAAUUAAAAGUAUAGUCCACCAUAGACCAUUUGUUCCUUUCCAAAGCAGUUUAUUUGCCCUCCAUAAAGGAAGGCUAUGGGAGGUAUUUGAUACACUACUCUCCCCUACUCCAAUUAUAUCUCUGCAUAUUAAUCAUAGGAAUAUCACUAUUUAAAAUGUCAUUUUCAUUUAUUGUUUUACAGUUCCUGGGUUUUUUUCCCCAUGGAUAUUUAUGAUUUAUAAACACAAAUUGAGCAUCUUUCACUAGAGAAAGGGUUGAGGGGUACAGGAACCUCUUCUCACCCACUGUAGAAGGCUUCCUAUAUAAGGUACAACAUCUGACUUUGGCAUGAAAUUAGAAGGUUGUUCUUCCAAUAGAGAGCACAUCAAAAUACCGGUUCUUAGCCAUCAACGAACUCAUAUAUGUACAAGAACUUGGGUUCCUUCAAUAAAUCCUAUAUGCUAUCUAUUUGACAAUCAUAAAAUCUUUUUGCUUUUGAGAAUUCUAUUAUCAACUAUCUUUUGUCAAGAAGAAAAAUGGCUCUCCCAGAAUUGAAAAACCUGAGUGUUUUCACAUCUUUGUAAAUCUACAGGAAGGUAUAUAAUUUGAAGGUUUUCUUCCCACUGACAAUGAAAAGAAAGCUAUUGGAAGCAGAUGGCUGUCUCAAUUUUUCAUCUUUCCUCUGGGACAGAAUUUAUUAAUUCCAUUGAAAAAUCUUUGUUUAAUCCAUUUUUUAAAAAAUCAAUUACAUUCAACAAAGCAUUUAUUAAUGCUCACUGUGUUACUAGUCACUGGGAUUAGAGAGAAAAAUUAAAUGUCUCCUGCCCUCAAGAAGCUUAUUUUCUGAUUUCUUCUUGGUAGAUACAUAUUUCUAAACAAGUCAAACUUCAAUGGGAAAACAACAUUUCAAAAGAAGGCUAGUAAGAGGUAUUUUGAGGAAGAAAAAAAAAGUAGUUUAAAAUAAUACCUUACGCAAUUUCAUUUUAAGGAACUAAACUUGUUUCCCCUUUCACUUAGAAGUAUAAAAGCAUAUGAAUGAAUAAAAUGUAUCAGCUAAAUAAGUUUGAGGUUAUACCUCUUCCAUUGGGGGGGGGGGGGCGGGGUUGUGGGCUUUUUUGGCCUGAUUCUACGUAAGUAAAUACCCAUUGAGAUCCAGUAGUCCUCAAUUAGUUUUGGUUAAAAUAUUCCACCAUUACUGAGUUCCUAAAAGUUCCUGGGGAAGUCCUAGUACAUGAUUGCUGAGAUGGCUCAUAAAAGCCUAUCUGAAGCAAAGUCCAAAGCCUACUACAAGUGUUAUCACAUCUCUCUUUUUUCCAGCCUGUGAACUUUUUAAAAAUUCUGAAUUAAAGAACAAUUAAAGAAAACACAUUUCUACAUGUACAGUAAAAAUAUUUGUAUAUGAAACCAUGAGUGUCUAUAACAUAAAGCUUGCUUUAAAAAUGUUAUAAAUUCUAU
Molecule: long non-coding RNA, 3055 nt
Organism: Sarcophilus harrisii (Tasmanian devil)
Lineage: Eukaryota; Metazoa; Chordata; Mammalia; Dasyuromorphia; Dasyuridae
Source: Ensembl